RNAcentral lists this ribosomal RNA (253 nucleotides) under uncultured bacterium. RNAcentral's name for it is "partial 16S ribosomal RNA". It matches the Rfam family "Bacterial small subunit ribosomal RNA", at positions 524 to 776 of the family's 1533-position model. The record is from RNAcentral.
UACGAAGGGGGCUAGCGUUGCUCGGAAUCACUGGGCGUAAAGCGCACGUAGGUGGAUCGCUAAGUCAGGGGUGAAAUCCUGGAGCUCAACUCCAGAACUGCCUUUGAUACUGGCAAUCUCGAGUCCGGGAGAGGUGAGUGGAACUGCGAGUGUAGAGGUGAAAUUCGUAGAUAUUCGCAAGAACACCAGUGGCGAAGGCGGCUCACUGGCCCGGUACUGACGCUGAGGUGCGAAAGCGUGGGGAGCGAACAGG